RNAcentral lists this ribosomal RNA (701 nucleotides) under Salmonella enterica subsp. enterica serovar Infantis. RNAcentral's name for it is "partial 23S ribosomal RNA". It matches the Rfam family "Bacterial large subunit ribosomal RNA", at positions 2102 to 2802 of the family's 2925-position model. Lineage: Bacteria; Pseudomonadati; Pseudomonadota; Gammaproteobacteria; Enterobacterales; Enterobacteriaceae. RNAcentral also lists the same sequence under 2 other names. The record is from RNAcentral.
UACUAUAGCUUGACACUGAACAUUGAGCCUUGAUGUGUAGGAUAGGUGGGAGGCUUUGAAGUGUGGACGCCAGUCUGCAUGGAGCCGACCUUGAAAUACCACCCUUUAAUGUUUGAUGUUCUAACGUGGACCCGUGAUCCGGGUUGCGGACAGUGUCUGGUGGGUAGUUUGACUGGGGCGGUCUCCUCCUAAAGAGUAACGGAGGAGCACGAAGGUUGGCUAAUCCUGGUCGGACAUCAGGAGGUUAGUGCAAUGGCAUAAGCCAGCUUGACUGCGAGCGUGACGGCGCGAGCAGGUGCGAAAGCAGGUCAUAGUGAUCCGGUGGUUCUGAAUGGAAGGGCCAUCGCUCAACGGAUAAAAGGUACUCCGGGGAUAACAGGCUGAUACCGCCCAAGAGUUCAUAUCGACGGCGGUGUUUGGCACCUCGAUGUCGGCUCAUCACAUCCUGGGGCUGAAGUAGGUCCCAAGGGUAUGGCUGUUCGCCAUUUAAAGUGGUACGCGAGCUGGGUUUAGAACGUCGUGAGACAGUUCGGUCCCUAUCUGCCGUGGGCGCUGGAGAACUGAGGGGGGCUGCUCCUAGUACGAGAGGACCGGAGUGGACGCAUCACUGGUGUUCGGGUUGUCAUGCCAAUGGCACUGCCCGGUAGCUAAAUGCGGAAGAGAUAAGUGCUGAAAGCAUCUAAGCACGAAACUUGCCCCGA